Molecule: ribosomal RNA, 486 nt
Filed under: Centipeda dianae
Lineage: Bacteria; Bacillati; Bacillota; Negativicutes; Selenomonadales; Selenomonadaceae
Description: bacterial SSU rRNA
Rfam family: Bacterial small subunit ribosomal RNA
Source: RNAcentral
GACGAACGCUGGCGGCGUGCUUAACACAUGCAAGUCGAACGGAGCGAAUGAAAGCUUGCUUUUAUGAGCUUAGUGGCAAACGGGUGAGUAACACGUAGACAACCUGCCGACAGGAUGGGGACAACAUUCCGAAAGGAAUGCUAAUACCGAAUGAAGCGGAGGAGAGGCAUCUCUCCUCCGUGAAAGAUGGCCUCUGAACAUGCUAUCACCUGUCGAUGGGUCUGCGUCUGAUUAGCUGGUUGGUGAGGUAACGGCUCACCAAGGCGACGAUCAGUAGCCGGUCUGAGAGGAUGAACGGCCACAUUGGGACUGAGACACGGCCCAGACUCCUACGGGAGGCAGCAGUGGGGAAUCUUCCGCAAUGGGCGCAAGCCUGACGGAGCAACGCCGCGUGAGUGAAGAAGGUCUUCGGAUCGUAAAGCUCUGUUGACGGGGACGAACGUGCGAGAGGUGAAUUUCUCUUGCAAAACGUACCUUCGAGGAGCC